RNAcentral lists this transfer RNA (131 nucleotides) under Daldinia loculata. Its description in RNAcentral is "tRNA-Thr". It matches the Rfam family "tRNA". From Rfam's summary of the family: Transfer RNA (tRNA) molecules are approximately 80 nucleotides in length. Their secondary structure includes four short double-helical elements and three loops (D, anti-codon, and T loops). Further hydrogen bonds mediate the characteristic L-shaped molecular structure. tRNAs have two regions of fundamental functional importance: the anti-codon, which is responsible for specific mRNA codon recognition, and the 3' end, to which the tRNAs corresponding amino acid is attached (by aminoacyl-tRNA synthetases). tRNAs cope with the degeneracy of the genetic code in two manners: having more than one tRNA (with a specific anti-codon) for a particular amino acid; and 'wobble' base-pairing, i.e. permitting non-standard base-pairing at the 3rd anti-codon position. The record is from RNAcentral. Lineage: Eukaryota; Fungi; Ascomycota; Sordariomycetes; Xylariales; Hypoxylaceae.
GCCCGUCUAGCUCACCGGUAGAGCGCCUCACUAGUAUUACCCCCAAUCAGCUAAGCUCUUAAGGAGUUAUAUCUUCACAGGAGCAAUACGCGGUAAUGAGGAGGCAACAGGUUCGACUCCUGUGAUGGGCA